Lolium rigidum is the source of this 2649-nucleotide long non-coding RNA. RefSeq lists it as uncharacterized. Lineage: Eukaryota; Viridiplantae; Streptophyta; Magnoliopsida; Poales; Poaceae. The transcript is spliced from 5 exons. The record is from RefSeq and is a predicted model, not a curated record.
GACCAGAUCGUCUCACCGCCAUCGCCCUGGUCCAGGCCCUGUACUACCGCCGCCACACUGGAUCGAUCCUGUCCGGUGGAUGAUACAAAAGCAAAUGAUAGGAAAGAAGGCAAUAUUUUGGGAGUGUAUGCAGUGGAAUGGAAAUGGUCAAACUCUUCGAAAGUACUCUCUCUUGCAAAUAUCACAGGUCCACCUUGAUUAUCCUAGCCUACCUGGACAGUUAGCUGAGCCCACGUUUACCUGGACAUAUAAUUCAGUUAGAAUGUCUACCUGGACAAUUUGUUUGGGAUGCUCUAUUUUAGUCCAGUGAUAGAGCUAGCUGAGAUUGCAAGUUAUGAGUUGCCCUUGCGAUUCUUCUGUUGGCUGCUCUUAGGUGAGGCCUUCAAGUCCCAAUUAUCUUUCUCAACAUAUUAAUUGAUAUGGUUCUUGCAAAUUGACAUUCUAAGGUGUUUACUAGGUGAAGCUUCGAGCUGUUGUAUUAGUAAAUUUGAAGGCUGUCAAAUUUAGCUACUCCGUAGAUCAAUCUGUCUGAAAUAUUACCAUAACUUAUAUAGAUGAGAUGUACAUACAUUUUAAGUUUUGAUACUGGAUUUUUUAUUUGAUGUGAAUAUUGUCUCCCUCUUUGAUUCUAAUCUGAGUUAAGUGUGAGAUGCAUUUGGUGAAAUUUAUUUAAUGGAAUUGCAACCGAGGCAAGAAUUGGGUAGCUGAAAAUUAUGCUAUAGACAGAACAACUGAAAACUAUGGUGUUUUUCCCGUGCUUGCCCAUUGCUUCAUUCUGGUGAUCCGUCCAGGUUUAGUUGUUUCUAGAUCCACGACAACUGCAUACUAUUUCCUAUUUCUACUUCAGUUUGGGUGGUCAUGCUAGAUAGAGCAGCGUUUGGGAAUGGGCAUCGUGAGCACUCUCCCUGGAGAACAAAAAAACAAGAGAACGGCUACCGCACUGUCUCCAUCCUCCACCAUGCUGCUUCACCACCAACGAAUGACGGAUCCGACCAAUGGGGCUCAGAUCAGGAGCUCUUCUAUCGGAUCUGCAGCGCCAGAAAAUGCCCCGAGGAUGAGGUAAUCAUUAGACGGCUCCUCCAUAUCUUUCCUAUUUCGUCCAAGGUUCUAAAUUUGGGCAAAGACAUGUGCACCUCAUCCGAGAGAUGGUAAACAUGAGGGAGCUAUUCUUAGAAUUAGUAGCAGUACGAUCAUGUCUUACUAGAAGGAGAGCUAUUCACCAAAUUCAUCUUUGUAUCUUGUUUCCUGUUAAGUGCAUAUCUAUUUUGUGUUUUUGUUUACUAUCAGCACGAAAUAAUCAGUUUGGAAGAUAAUUUUGUCAUAUAUAUUUCACUGAUACAUAGAGCAUGGCAAAAUUUCUUAUGAGGAAAGCACAUGAGGUCCUUAAAUAUUCUGAUUUAUGUGCAAUACUUACUACAGAAUUAGCAAUCAUUUACUUGAUGUGCCUAACUUAUAUUUGUUCUAACUGCACCUGAAAAUCUGAAGCUUACAGAAAAGGGUUUUAAUAUAAUUUUAGAAAGAAUUAUAUUUGUUUCGCCUUACCAUUAUGCUUCAGGCUUGAGAUGAAACAAUAACAUCAAGACGAGUUUUUAAUCAUGUGCUAUGAACUUCUCUAGCUGCAAUUUGUUUUUUCAGGUCUUGGGCUGCUCAAUGAAUAACAAUAAUAUCACACAAUUUCAAUUGUUACUACUUUCUUAUUCCCUCUGGUGUUGAAUUUUUUCCUGGGUGAUAUACAUAAAAUCUCUCUGCGGACCACGGGCGCCUAGAUGCACUCAAAAGCUCUCUCUCUCCCGGCAUCGCUUCCAGCUUGAAUUCCACUUCUGCACCCCUCUCUCUUCCAUCACUUGUUCCAUUCAUGAGCGCCCAGAUCUCAUGGAACAAAUCUGUCUUCAUCACCCCCACCAGCACUCACAACACUCUGAUAGUUGGUCUGACGAAAUCCACCAUUUUGUUUGUGAAGUGCAUGCUGAUUUGUGCGGGUUUAUGGUGUGCCUGACUGGCUGAUUCAGAGGCUUUGAGCGAUCACUUCAUCAAAUCUGGUGAGGAUUGUCUUCCAUGUUAUGCGUACUACGUUUCUUGAAAGAUUUACUGGUAGAAAUUUGCUCUCUUUAUUUAGUUAAUUGCAACAACAUAGCAUGAGAUUUUCCAAAAGUAAGGUCUACUUCUGUUAAUUGCAUAUGCCAAAACCUAUUCCUAUUGGCACUUAUUUCAGAAUCAGUUGUUUUUCCUCGUAUGUACGCAUUAUGCAGCUAUGGUUAAAGAGUGUUUAAUACUUCACACUGUGAGAUGCAACACGGCAAGUGUGACCUCGCAACCAAUGUUGUGCUGCACGACCAUGUGAGUGACCACCGUGCGGUCACUCCUCUUUACCACCUUCAACGCUGAUGGUGCCUCGCUUUGUUCCCUCCACCGCACUCUGGUGGAUUCACCACCACUAGGGAAAGUGCGGAGCUAUUUUUCCAAUGGGAAGAGAAGGAACCAACAACUAAUAUUUCUGGCUACUUCAUGGGAGGACGCACUGGAUGCUUGGCACGUGCCUGUUAUUUUCUUACUGUUGAUAACAUCUAGGGUAUGUUAAUUUGGUUCUCGGAAAUUACUAAUUCAAUACGGUUACUUUGUCUCAUAAGUGAAGUCUUCUGAUAUCAAUUA